This 249-nucleotide ribosomal RNA is filed under the name uncultured bacterium. RNAcentral describes it as "partial 16S ribosomal RNA". It matches the Rfam family "Bacterial small subunit ribosomal RNA", at positions 528 to 776 of the family's 1533-position model. The record is from RNAcentral.
UAGGGGGCAAGCGUUGUCCGGAAUCAUUGGGCGUAAAGAGCGUGUAGGCGGUCCGGUAAGUCGGCUGUGAAAGUCCAGGGCUCAACCCUGGGAUGCCGGUCGAUACUGCCGGACUAGAGUUCGGAAGAGGCGAGUGGAAUUCCCGGUGUAGCGGUGAAAUGCGCAGAUAUCGGGAGGAACACCUAUGGCGAAGGCAGCUCGCUGGGACGUUACUGACGCUGAGACGCGAAAGCGUGGGGAGCAAACAGG